GAGUUUGAUCAUGGCUCAGGAUGAACGCUAGCGACAGGCUUAACACAUGCAAGUCGAGGGGCAGCGGGGAGGUAGCAAUACUUCCGCCGGCGACCGGCGCACGGGUGAGUAACACGUAUGGAACCUGCCCGUAGCAGGGGGAUAAGCGGAAGAAAUUCCGUCUAAUACCGCGUAAUAACUCCGAGAGGCAUCUCCUGGGGUUUAAAGGGUAACACCGGCUACGGAUGGCCAUGCGGCGCAUUAGCUAGUUGGCGGGGUAACGGCCCACCAAGGCGACGAUGCGUAGGGGUUCUGAGAGGAAGGUCCCCCACACUGGUACUGAGACACGGACCAGACUCCUACGGGAGGCAGCAGUGAGGAAUAUUGGUCAAUGGGCGCGAGCCUGAACCAGCCAAGUCGCGUGAGGGAUGACGGUCCUACGGAUUGUAAACCUCUUUUGCCGGGGAGCAAGCGUGCGUUCGUGAACGCGCGUCGAGAGUACCCGGAGAGAAAGCAUCGGCUAACUCCGUGCCAGCAGCCGCGGUAAUACGGAGGAUGCGAGCGUUAUCCGGAUUUAUUGGGUUUAAAGGGUGCGUAGGCGGGAUGCCAAGUCAGCGGUAAAAUUGCGGGGCUCAACCCCGUCGAGCCGUUGAAACUGUCAGACUUGAGUUGGCGAGAAGUACGCGGAAUGCGCGGUGUAGCGGUGAAAUGCAUAGAUAUCGCGCAGAACUCCGAUUGCGAAGGCAGCGUACCGGCGCCACACUGACGCUGAGGCACGAAAGCGUGGGGAUCGAACAGGAUUAGAUACCCUGGUAGUCCACGCAGUAAACGAUGAAUGCUGGUUGUCCGGGUCGAAUGAGACCUGGGCGGCGAAGCGAAAGCGAUAAGCAUUCCACCUGGGGAGUACGCCGGCAACGGUGAAACUCAAAGGAAUUGACGG
Molecule: ribosomal RNA, 919 nt
Filed under: uncultured bacterium
Lineage: Bacteria
Description: bacterial SSU rRNA
Rfam family: Bacterial small subunit ribosomal RNA
Source: RNAcentral